RNAcentral lists this ribosomal RNA (253 nucleotides) under uncultured bacterium. RNAcentral's name for it is "partial 16S ribosomal RNA". It matches the Rfam family "Bacterial small subunit ribosomal RNA", at positions 524 to 776 of the family's 1533-position model. The record is from RNAcentral.
UACGAAGGUCCCAAGCGUUGUUCGGAAUCACUGGGCGUAAAGGGAGCGUAGGCGGCGUGGUAAGUCAGAUGUGAAAGCCCUCGGCUCAACCAAGGAAGUGCAUCCGAAACUGCUGAGCUUGAGUACUUAAGAGGAUCGCGGAAUUCCCGGUGUAGAGGUGAAAUUCGUAGAUAUCGGGAGGAACACCAGUGGCGAAGGCGGCGAUCUGGGAAGAUACUGACGCUGAGGUGCGAAAGCGUGGGGAGCAAACAGG